UUAGGCGUAAGUCCAAAUAAUCACAUACCCAAGAAUAUUUAUAUAUUAAAAAAAGAAAAGUGUGCACUCUAAACGACGUCGUAAGACAACAGGCAGCAGUCCCAGGACAGAUAACAGAGUAUGUGAAGCCCUCCUAAUGGAUAUUUCGGGAGCUGAGGGGGACAACGAUUUUUUAUUUUUUUAUUUUGUAUUUUAUUUUAGGUAUGAUGGACAUCGGACACAUAGGGUGACUUGGAUGCAUUAGGGACUCUGAACGAUAUCGGAGGAACCGAUGAAACAGACAGUAUUCGGUCUUUUUGUAUGAACGUUUUUCCAAACACUCCAAGAACAGAGAAUUUAAACGUCCCGACAACAACCCAGGGAACCACCACCCCCACACAACAUAGUCCAGACCCCAACAACAAAAGCACAACGGUGGCCCAAGGGCAUUGCGCAGAAUCACCAGAGGUAUUAAUUCUAGGCAUUUACAUGUAAGUUUUUAAAAAUGAAGACUAUUUAUACAAUGAAACAAUGUUUUUUUUAUUCACACUGUUUGUAAACAAUAACGUUUGCCCUCUUAGGGUCUACUUGACCUGCUUAUUGAUUAGAAAGUAUGAUUAGAAACCAAGGCUGUGGAAUAUAUUCGCUCUCACAGGCUAUGAAAAAGACAAAAGCUAGGACAUUGACUCCGGAGUGUUGAACUUAUGCCCACUCUACAACAACCCCGGUUGUUAUAUGACCCCUGAGGAUCAUCUACGAACGUUGGAACAUCUACAACUAUUGAAGAUGCAAAAAGGGGUUUUCAGAAACACAUUUGGUUUACAGAUAUGUAUUAUUAUAAAAAUAAUAUAACAUUAUUAUCAUAAUCUAAAACACUUUAAAGGAUCUCUAAUUCAAACAUGCAAGGAUAUAUAUAUAUAUAUGAUACGAUUAACCACUUUAAAACUGUUGCUGCAAUAUCACUUCUCAAUGUGUGUACAUUUCAAGCUUUCAACAACAAUAAACAAACCAGCUCAAUAAUGUUUCUCAGACUUACAAACUGUUGAGUUUUCCUAGUUAGUAAAGAAACAACCACUAAGCCAAAACCCCAAAAGUUGUAAUAUAAUCUGUAUACAAGUCAUUCUAUACAGAAAACAGGUACAUUUUGAUUGAUCAAGAAUUCCCAAUAGGUUUGUGUCACGCCCUGACCAUAGUUUGCUAUGUAUGUUUAUAGGUUUUGUUUGGUAUGGGUGUGAUAUGAGUGGGCAUUCUAUGAUGUAUGUCUAGUUUGUCUUUUUUCAGUGUUUGGCCGGAUAUUGUUUUCAAUCAGAGGCCUGUGUUAGUCGUUGUCUCUGAUUGGGAACCAUAUUUAGGUAGCCUGUGUUGUCAUUGUUGGGUGAUUGUCUAUGUUAGGUGCUUGUGUCAGCACAUUGGGUAUAUAGCGUCACGGUCGUUGUUCAUUUAUUGGCUUGUUCAGUUUACUUUGUGUUUUCGUCAUCCAUUAAAACGAUGCAUUCACACCA
This is a long non-coding RNA of Oncorhynchus mykiss (rainbow trout), 1481 nucleotides long. RefSeq lists it as uncharacterized. The record is from RefSeq and is a predicted model, not a curated record. Lineage: Eukaryota; Metazoa; Chordata; Actinopteri; Salmoniformes; Salmonidae.